RNAcentral lists this ribosomal RNA (500 nucleotides) under uncultured bacterium. RNAcentral describes it as "partial 16S ribosomal RNA". It matches the Rfam family "Bacterial small subunit ribosomal RNA", at positions 29 to 523 of the family's 1533-position model. The record is from RNAcentral.
AUUGAACGCUGGCGGCAUGCCUUACACAUGCAAGUCGAACGGCAGCACGGGAGCAAUCCUGGUGGCGAGUGGCGAACGGGUGAGUAAUGUAUCGGAACGUGCCCAGUCGUGGGGGAUAACGUAGCGAAAGCUACGCUAAUACCGCAUACGAUCUGUGGAUGAAAGCGGGGGACCGUAAGGCCUCGCGCGAUUGGAGCGGCCGAUAUCAGAUUAGGUAGUUGGUGGGGUAAAAGCCUACCAAGCCGACGAUCUGUAGCUGGUCUGAGAGGACGACCAGCCACACGGGGACUGAGACACGGCCCAGAGUCCUACGGGAGGCAGCAGUGGGGAAUUUUGGACAAUGGGCGCAAGCCUGAUCCAGCAAUGCCGCGUGCAGGAUGAAGGCCUUCGGGUUGUAAACUGCUUUUGUACGGAGCGAAAAGGCUCUCUCUAAUACAGGGGGCUCAUGACGGUACCGUAAGAAUAAGCACCGGCUAACUACGUGCCAGCCGCCGCCGUAA